GUGGCCAAAGGAAAAAGCAUUUUUCAAAACUGUUUUCAGAACUUUAACUUGGGAUUCAAUGAUGAAGAUGACUGCGGAGUACAUCUAGAAACUACUUUUAUUGGAAAAGAUGGACUUAUCAAGGAAGAUAUGAGUAGAGCAAAAGUGAAUUAAUAUUCUGGAGAAUCAGGGUAUCAGACCUGCAAACAACAUGGAUUCACACAGA
RNAcentral lists this long non-coding RNA (205 nucleotides) under Homo sapiens (human). RNAcentral's name for it is "HSALNT0204838". Lineage: Eukaryota; Metazoa; Chordata; Mammalia; Primates; Hominidae. The record is from RNAcentral.